RNAcentral lists this ribosomal RNA (1372 nucleotides) under uncultured bacterium. RNAcentral describes it as "bacterial SSU rRNA". It matches the Rfam family "Bacterial small subunit ribosomal RNA", at positions 28 to 1381 of the family's 1533-position model. The record is from RNAcentral.
GAUGAACGCUGGCGGCGUGCCUAAUACAUGCAAGUCGAGCGAACGGACGAGAAGCUUGCUUCUCUGAUGUUAGCGGCGGACGGGUGAGUAACACGUGGAUAACCUACCUAUAAGACUGGGAUAACUUCGGGAAACCGGAGCUAAUACCGGAUAAUAUUUUGAACCGCAUGGUUCAAAAGUGAAAGACGGUCUUGCUGUCACUUAUAGAUGGAUCCGCGCUGCAUUAGCUAGUUGGUAAGGUAACGGCUUACCAAGGCAACGAUGCAUAGCCGACCUGAGAGGGUGAUCGGCCACACUGGAACUGAGACACGGUCCAGACUCCUACGGGAGGCAGCAGUAGGGAAUCUUCCGCAAUGGGCGAAAGCCUGACGGAGCAACGCCGCGUGAGUGAUGAAGGUCUUCGGAUCGUAAAACUCUGUUAUUAGGGAAGAACAUAUGUGUAAGUAACUGUGCACAUCUUGACGGUACCUAAUCAGAAAGCCACGGCUAACUACGUGCCAGCAGCCGCGGUAAUACGUAGGUGGCAAGCGUUAUCCGGAAUUAUUGGGCGUAAAGCGCGCGUAGGCGGUUUUUUAAGUCUGAUGUGAAAGCCCACGGCUCAACCGUGGAGGGUCAUUGGAAACUGGAAAACUUGAGUGCAGAAGAGGAAAGUGGAAUUCCAUGUGUAGCGGUGAAAUGCGCAGAGAUAUGGAGGAACACCAGUGGCGAAGGCGACUUUCUGGUCUGUAACUGACGCUGAUGUGCGAAAGCGUGGGGAUCAAACAGGAUUAGAUACCCUGGUAGUCCACGCCGUAAACGAUGGGUGCUAAGUGUUAGGGGGUUUCCGCCCCUUAGUGCUGCAGCUAACGCAUUAAGCACUCCGCCUGGGGAGUACGACCGCAAGGUUGAAACUCAAAGGAAUUGACGGGGACCCGCACAAGCGGUGGAGCAUGUGGUUUAAUUCGAAGCAACGCGAAGAACCUUACCAAAUCUUGACAUCCUUUGACAACUCUAGAGAUAGAGCUUUCCCCUUCGGGGGACAAAGUGACAGGUGGUGCAUGGUUGUCGUCAGCUCGUGUCGUGAGAUGUUGGGUUAAGUCCCGCAACGAGCGCAACCCUUAAGCUUAGUUGCCAUCAUUAAGUUGGGCACUCUAAGUUGACUGCCGGUGACAAACCGGAGGAAGGUGGGGAUGACGUCAAAUCAUCAUGCCCCUUGUGAUUUGGGCUACACACGUGCUACAAUGGACAAUACAAAGGGCAGCGAAACCGCGAGGUCAAGCAAAUCCCAUAAAGUUGUUCUCAGUUCGGAUUGUAGUCUGCAACUCGACUACAUGAAGCUGGAAUCGCUAGUAAUCGUAGAUCAGCAUGCUACGGUGAAUACGUUCCCAGGUCU